This 480-nucleotide ribosomal RNA is filed under the name marine sediment bacterium ISA-2660. RNAcentral describes it as "bacterial SSU rRNA". It matches the Rfam family "Bacterial small subunit ribosomal RNA", at positions 49 to 510 of the family's 1533-position model. The record is from RNAcentral.
UAAUACAUGCAAGUCGAGCGGAUUGAUGGGAGCUUGCUCCCUGAUAUCAGCGGCGGACGGGUGAGUAACACGUGGGUAACCUGCCUGUAAGACUGGGAUAACUCCGGGAAACCGGGGCUAAUACCGGAUAACUCAUUUCCUCGCAUGAGGAAAUGUUGAAAGGUGGCUUUUAGCUACCACUUACAGAUGGACCCGCGGCGCAUUAGCUAGUUGGUGAGGUAACGGCUCACCAAGGCAACGAUGCGUAGCCGACCUGAGAGGGUGAUCGGCCACACUGGGACUGAGACACGGCCCAGACUCCUACGGGAGGCAGCAGUAGGGAAUCUUCCGCAAUGGACGAAAGUCUGACGGAGCAACGCCGCGUGAGUGAUGAAGGUUUUCGGAUCGUAAAGCUCUGUUGUUAGGGAAGAACAAGUGCCGUUCGAAUAGGGCGGCACCUUGACGGUACCUAACCAGAAAGCCACGGCUAACUACGUGCCA